This 253-nucleotide ribosomal RNA is filed under the name uncultured bacterium. Its description in RNAcentral is "partial 16S ribosomal RNA". It matches the Rfam family "Bacterial small subunit ribosomal RNA", at positions 524 to 776 of the family's 1533-position model. The record is from RNAcentral.
UACGUAGGGCGCAAGCGUUAUCCGGAAUUACUGGGCGUAAAGGGCUCGUAGGUGGCCAACUAAGUCAGACGUGAAAUCCCUCAGCUUAACUGGGGAACUGCGUCUGAUACUGGAUGGCUUGAGUUUGGGAGAGGGAUGCGGAAUUCCAGGUGUAGCGGUGAAAUGCGUAGAUAUCUGGAGGAACACCGGUGGCGAAGGCGGCAUCCUGGACCAAUACUGACACUGAGGAGCGAAAGCCAGGGGAGCAAACGGG